UGGAGAGUGAUCUCGCCUUCUCUUAGCCCCUAACUUCUUCAAGACCCUGCAUUGAAGUGCACAAAUGAGUACUGAAAUCAGAAUCAAGAAUCCAACUAGAAGAAGAUCAAAUCAUUAGAUUAGUUUCAAUAAUGAGUAUUUCAGAUGUACCUUUAGAAGGCCCAUCCUUCUUCCUGCUCUUGACAGUCACCAGGUAGGCCGGACAGU
RNAcentral lists this long non-coding RNA (207 nucleotides) under Elaeis guineensis (African oil palm). RNAcentral describes it as "long non-coding RNA (EGUI_LNC025824)". Lineage: Eukaryota; Viridiplantae; Streptophyta; Magnoliopsida; Arecales; Arecaceae. The record is from RNAcentral.